Molecule: long non-coding RNA, 203 nt
Filed under: Salvia miltiorrhiza (redroot sage)
Lineage: Eukaryota; Viridiplantae; Streptophyta; Magnoliopsida; Lamiales; Lamiaceae
Description: long non-coding RNA (SMIL_LNC002795)
Source: RNAcentral
CCCGUUUUUGUAAAUGCAUCUGCUCCAUACCGACCUGUUUUAUCCGGAUGCUUGAAAAUAUAACACCAAAAGCAAAAACAAGCAUCUUUUGCUACGCUAUACUCUAGCCACACAAACUUUUGAUACCAAACAUCUUGAAAACUUCUUAGUUGAUUACCAAAUUGAGUUUUCGGAUAGGUAUGCCCAACUACUUGACAAGGCCC